UUUUUUCACUGUUUAUUUUUUAAGGGAAAGGGAAUCCCCGGGAAGGUGCUAUAGGACGGGGAUCCCCAGAAUGUCGAGAGAUUUCUUUGUGCGUCGCGUGAUUAACUAGCGGAAAUGUAAAUUAUGAAAUGUUUUUAUUAGAUGUGUGCUUUAUAAUGAUAAUUAAAAUUGACGAGGUAAUCUAUUGGUGGAAAGUAUAUUCGAUUCAACGCAUCGGAUAAGCAUGAAUGAAAUUUCAUUUUAGAGCAGUCUUUGUGAUGUCAUCAAAUAAAUUCCCCGUGUGAAUGCCAGGGGCAACUCUUGUCCUUAAAACUCGAUUAUCAUUACUUAUUGAACUUGUAAAUAUCAAGAGUUUUUGAGUUUCUCAUACAUCCGCCAGGAGCGUGGGCCUGAAGAAAUGCACGACCAAAAAUUGUCAUCAGUCGAGGCACAGCUUCGUAGUCGGAAGCAUUGUGCGUGGGCCGCACCUCGAGUAGGAUAAAAAUAGCACUGCAUUUAAAUCAGGAUCCAACGAGCCUCGCAUCGAUUCGAAAGUUUCUCUUAAACAAAACAGCAGUAGCAGCAACAAAAAGAGUUCGUCUUCCGGUGGCAACAAUAAGCAACAGGCGGAAAUUCGGACACUUCCUUAUGCUAAUGCUCGUCAGCAGGCUAAGGGCAACAGUAGGCAAGGGCAGAAUGAUCGAGAGGUAAUAACACUCGAGACCGAUGAUGCACGGGCCGGAUCUUCUCGCUCCAAAAGUGACGACAUAAUGAACGAUGC
Long non-coding RNA from Nasonia vitripennis (jewel wasp), 760 nucleotides. RefSeq lists it as uncharacterized. The record is from RefSeq and is a predicted model, not a curated record. The transcript has 3 exons. Lineage: Eukaryota; Metazoa; Arthropoda; Insecta; Hymenoptera; Pteromalidae.